GAUCAUGGCUCAGGAUGAACGCUGGCGGCGUGCCUAAUACAUGCAAGUCGAGCGAACAGACAAGGAGCUUGCUCCUUUGACGUUAGCGGCGGACGGGUGAGUAACACGUGGGUAACCUACCUAUAAGACUGGGAUAACUUCGGGAAACCGGAGCUAAUACCGGAUAAUAUUUCGAACCGCAUGGUUCGAUAGUGAAAGAUGGUUUUGCUAUCACUUAUAGAUGGACCCGCGCCGUAUUAGCUAGUUGGUAAGGUAACGGCUUACCAAGGCGACGAUACGUAGCCGACCUGAGAGGGUGAUCGGCCACACUGGAACUGAGACACGGUCCAGACUCCUACGGGAGGCAGCAGUAGGGAAUCUUCCGCAAUGGGCGAAAGCCUGACGGAGCAACGCCGCGUGAGUGAUGAAGGUCUUCGGAUCGUAAAACUCUGUUAUUAGGGAAGAACAUACGUGUAAGUAACUAUGCACGUCUUGACGGUACCUAAUCAGAAAGCCACGGCUAACUACGUGCCAGCAGCCGCGGUAAUACGUAGGUGGCAAGCGUUAUCCGGAAUUAUUGGGCGUAAAGCGCGCGUAGGCGGUUUUUUAAGUCUGAUGUGAAAGCCCACGGCUCAACCGUGGAGGGUCAUUGGAAACUGGAAAACUUGAGUGCAGAAGAGGAAAGUGGAAUUCCAUGUGUAGCGGUGAAAUGCGCAGAGAUAUGGAGGAACACCAGUGGCGAAGGCGACUUUCUGGUCUGUAACUGACGCUGAUGUGCGAAAGCGUGGGGAUCAAACAGGAUUAGAUACCCUGGUAGUCCACGCCGUAAACGAUGAGUGCUAAGUGUUAGGGGGUUUCCGCCCCUUAGUGCUGCAGCUAACGCAUUAAGCACUCCGCCUGGGGAGUACGACCGCAAGGUUGAAACUCAAAGGAAUUGACGGGGACCCGCACAAGCGGUGGAGCAUGUGGUUUAAUUCGAAGCAACGCGAAGAACCUUACCAAAUCUUGACAUCCUUUGACAACUCUAGAGAUAGAGCCUUCCCCUUCGGGGGACAAAGUGACAGGUGGUGCAUGGUUGUCGUCAGCUCGUGUCGUGAGAUGUUGGGUUAAGUCCCGCAACGAGCGCAACCCUUAAGCUUAGUUGCCAUCAUUAAGUUGGGCACUCUAAGUUGACUGCCGGUGACAAACCGGAGGAAGGUGGGGAUGACGUCAAAUCAUCAUGCCCCUUAUGAUUUGGGCUACACACGUGCUACAAUGGACAAUACAAAGGGCAGCGAAACCGCGAGGUCAAGCAAAUCCCAUAAAGUUGUUCUCAGUUCGGAUUGUAGUCUGCAACUCGACUACAUGAAGCUGGAAUCGCUAGUAAUCGUAGAUCAGCAUGCUACGGUGAUACGUUCCCGGGUCUUGUACACACCGCCCGUCACACCACGAGAGUUUGUAACACCCGAAGCCGGUGGAGUAACCAUUUGGAGCUAGCCGUCGAAGGUGGGACAAAUGAUUGGGGUGAAGUCGUAACAAGGUAACCGUAG
Molecule: ribosomal RNA, 1508 nt
Filed under: Staphylococcus haemolyticus
Lineage: Bacteria; Bacillati; Bacillota; Bacilli; Caryophanales; Staphylococcaceae
Description: bacterial SSU rRNA
Rfam family: Bacterial small subunit ribosomal RNA
Source: RNAcentral